This 256-nucleotide ribosomal RNA is filed under the name uncultured bacterium. Its description in RNAcentral is "partial 16S ribosomal RNA". It matches the Rfam family "Bacterial small subunit ribosomal RNA", at positions 98 to 354 of the family's 1533-position model. The record is from RNAcentral.
CGGGACGGGUGAGUAACGCGUGGGUAACCUGCCUUACACUGGGGGAUAACACUUAGAAAUAGGUGCUAAUACCGCAUAAGCGCACAGAGCCGCAUGGCUCAGUGUGAAAAACUCCGGUGGUGUAAGAUGGAUCCGCGUCUGAUUAGCUGGUUGGCGGGGUAGAAGCCCACCAAGGCGACGAUCAGUAGCCGGCCUGAGAGGGUGAACGGCCACAUUGGGACUGAGACACGGCCCAAACUCCUACGGAAGGCAGCAG